CAGGUUGGACGACCUUCCUGCGCUUCCUGAUGUCCGGGGACGACCCCA
Molecule: non-coding RNA, 48 nt
Organism: Serratia marcescens FGI94
Lineage: Bacteria; Pseudomonadati; Pseudomonadota; Gammaproteobacteria; Enterobacterales; Yersiniaceae
Source: Rfam